This 70-nucleotide transfer RNA is filed under the name Drabescoides nuchalis. RNAcentral describes it as "tRNA-Trp". The record is from RNAcentral. Lineage: Eukaryota; Metazoa; Arthropoda; Insecta; Hemiptera; Cicadellidae.
UAAGGCUUUAAGUUAAUAUAAACUUACAACCUUCAAAGUUGUUAAUAUUUCUUUGAAGGGUAAGUCUUAG